This is a non-coding RNA of Pelobates cultripes (western spadefoot toad), 5404 nucleotides long. NCBI's taxonomy places the organism in Eukaryota, Metazoa, Chordata, Amphibia, Anura, Pelobatidae. The record is from the annotation of a GenBank genome assembly.
GAACUGUGUCUCUGAGCUGCUUUACCUCGCACUAGGACGCCAUCCCACCGCUGCCACCAAUGUAACGGAUCGCCUGGCACCCCGACUGGGUACCUCCGUUGAAGGAUGCUCCUAGCGCUUCCUGAGGACACCAAGCACUCUGGCAGACACCACAAUCACCGAACCGGAGAAACAAAUAAAUUCUCCCAAGCAUAUGAAUGCUGUAGACAGUUGAAUAGGAACCAUACGAAUAGGUUUACUCUCCUAGCAGUCAAACUGGAACAGCAUACAAUAAAUCCUUCCACCAAUAAUGAGACGACACUUCACUUUGAGGGUUAAAACAGGAACUGCUGUGCUGGCACACCCAGCCUGGUUUUUAUUACAGCCUUUCACAUACAGGACCGCCCACAGGGAGGUAUAAAACAACCAAUCACAUAUCAGUUACAUCCCACAUAUUCCCUCCCCUUAUCCUGAGAGGAAACUCAAUUACACAUACAGUUAAAACAUACUUUCUACCCAACUUUCAUAACUUUAAAACCAUACAUCACAUUCACAUAAAAUUACAUAUUCACAAUCAAUCCAUUCAGGGGAACAACAUAAUAAAAAAUGGCAUGAGACCAGGGGUUCAAAAGUUAGUAAAAGUAUCUUUUGGGCCCUGGCUGGCACAUGGCUAUCUGGCUCAAACAGGUUUUACAGAGCCCUCUAUCCUGGAGACAAUGGGGAAAGUAAUCCAAUUAUCCAGGGAUAGAGGCAGACUCCAUUGAGCACAUGGUUGCAAAAAGACAUAAAACACUUUAAAAUACAUAAAGUCACCUUUUACACAUAACACACAGACAUUUCACAUAUCCCCAGAUAGCCGGGAUCUGAGCUAUCUGGGGAUAGCGCUCAGAUCCUAUUCACACAGUUCAAUUGCACAGUUCAAUUGCCAUGGAGCCGAAAUCUUUACACGAAUGGGCUCCAUGGCAUAGCUAUCUGGGUUAACACAUUCACAUAAAGUCUGGUCCAUAGUCCAAAGGCAAGAGGCGGGCAAGCAGCCCCCUCCAAGGACACGUGGCGAGGUCGGUUUCACUGCUGUGUGUGUGAGGGUGCUCUGUGUGUAAGGGUGCUUUUAGUGUGUGCAAGGGUGCUGUUAGUGUGUGCGCUGUGUGUGAGGGUGCUGUUAGUGUGUGCGUGUAUGUGUGAGGGUGCUGUGUGUGUAAGGGUGUUGUUAGUGUGAGGGUGCUGUUAGUGUGUGCUUUGUGUGUGUAUGUGUAAGGGCGCUGUUAGUGUGUGCUUUGUGUGUGUGAGGGUGCUGUUAGUGUGUGCGUGUAUGUGUGAGGGUGCUGUGUGUGUAAGGGUGUUGUUAGUGUGUGCUUUGUGUGUGUGAGGGUGAUGUUAGUGUGUGCAGGUAUGUGUGAGGGGGCUGUGUGUGUAAGGGUGUUGUUAGUGUGAGGGUGCUGUUAGUGUGUGUGUGUAAGGGUGUUGUUAGUGUGUGCAAUGUGUGUGUGAGGGUGCUGUUAGUGUGUGUAAGGGUGAUGUAUGUUUGUGUGUAAUGUGUGGGGGCCGUUUAGUUAAUAUUCCCCCUCCCUUCUUACCUUAUGUAGGGAGGGGGGACCGUGAUCCUGGUGGUCCAGUGGAGAGUGAACUCUAGCCCCCUGUGAGGCUAGAGUUCACUCUCGCGGGAUCUGAGCGUUGCCGCCGUAACCGCGGCAAUGCUCUGACCGCGCAAGAGGAACCCAGCGGAGCUACUGACAAGAGCUCCCUGGGUCCUCUCCUGCCUCCCUCCCUGCCUGUGGGUUGGCAUGCCAAGGGUUGUGGGUUGUGGCAUGCCAUGGGUUGUGGAUCUUUGAUCUCCCUCACCUGCCCAUGUAGGGAGGCACAUAGUGCGUGCCGCGGGGAUAAAGGUGUGCUUCACACUAACUUAGGGCUCCACGCUAUGUGCUUCACAUUGACAGAGGACUCACUUAGGGCUCCACGCUAUGUGCUUCACACUGACCGAGGGCUCUCUUAGGGCUCCACGCUAUGUGCUUCAUACUGACCGAGGGCUCUCUUAGGGCUCCACGCUAUGUGCUUCACACUGACCGAGGGCUCUCUUAGGGCUCCACGCUAUGUGCUUCAUACUGACCGAGGGCUCUCUUAGGGCUCCACGCUAUGUGCUUCACACUGACCGAGGGCUCUCUUAGGGCUCCACGCUAUGUGCUUCACACUGACCGAGGGCUCACUUAGGGCUCCAUGCUAUGUGCUUCACACUGAGCAAGGGCUCACUUAGGGCUCCAUGCUAUGUGCUUCAUACUGACCGAGGGCUCUCUUAGGGCUCCACGCUAUGUGCUUCAUACUGACCGAGGGCUCCACGCUAUGUGCUUCACACUGACUUAGGUCUCCAUGCUAUGUACUUCACACUGACCAAGGGCUCACUUAGGGCUCCACGCUAUGUGCUUCACACUGACCGAGGGCUCUCUUAGGGCUCCACUCUAUGUGCUACACUGAAGCAUCUAUGAGUAGCCAACAUCCCUGUAGUUGAUUAUGCCUGAGUCCCUGGCAUGUGCUGAGGAGAACCCGCAUCAGCAGCGGAUGGAGACGCUGCAAGGGACCCCCAGGUGAGUGUCAUCGUAACAUAUACACAGAUUCAAUAAUAAUAUGUGUGGCGAAAGUAACCUCACCACUGGCUUUUGGAGGAGCCUGUUUGCCAGCCUCCUGUCCUGUGACUAUGCCUCUAUUACAGACUUUGAUUAAAAAUACUGUUUGUGCCUUUUUGGACUUGUAUGGCUACACUUCGAACUCUCAAAGCUGCACUCCAAAUUCCCGAACAACCACACGAACCAGAGACCACCCUGGAGAUUGUUAACACCUAUUAACAACUUGGAACGUUCCUCACUGCAGUGUUGUAAUUGUUCUUCUGGGUGGCUGCAAUUCCUAUGGACUACCACGAGGUGGCGGCCAUCUUGUUCGCAUGAAUGCAGGCAGUGGUGUGUGGGCAUGAAUCACCCGAAAUCGGAUACAGAAACUCCCGAACACCGCUGGACUUCCAUCAUCGCCUGCAUUUGAUUCUAUACAACUUAGAAGGCACUGUUCGGUGAAAUCAUUCGUCUGGAUGAGGGAUACAAACACUAGGGUAAGACUAUUGACUCUGUUUGUUCGUUUGUUCGUUUUCAAAUUACCGAACUGGACCGACCACAGGCCCUGAUUCUUUGGAACUGUUUUGGGCAUGCCUGCGGUUGGUCAAAUAAAUGACUUCCAUAGAAUUCCUGAACCCCUGAACUGAUCUGGGUGAUUUGGUCACCCAGAUCAGGGCUAUCAGGGGAUGUAACAUUUGCGGGGAUAUUCUGUGUUUUUGGGGUACUUUUAGGGACUUUAUAAUAUGUGGGUUUUUUCUGCCUGGAGAUAAUUGAGUUAAUAUAGUAUCUCCCAGGGAGAGGGGAGGGAGUGUGUGCUGUGUGUGGGAGUGUUGUGCCUUGUAACCUUAAUGUUAUCGGUCUGUGACGUUGUAAAUCAGUCUACCAUCAGGUCCAUGUGGGCGUACCUCUUGCAUUUGGAAUGUCAUAUAAGGCCAAGUUUUGCACCAUUAAAAUCAGUUCCUCUUCACCCUCAACAUAGAGCCUCAUCUCAUGUGUGGAGGGUACAGCUAUAUUCACUCUGGUGAUUGCUAUACUCCUUAUACUCCCCUGGGUUCUAAUCACUAGUUCUUAUAAGAGCUGUUCCUGCUAUACUCUCUGGAGUAGGAGAGGUUCACCCACUGGAAGCUGGAUCCUGGUAUUGGGUCCUGGGUGGGUGAAGGACGGCGAGACCCCAACCAAGCUGCGGCAGUUUGUGGGGUCUACGGUGCUGGUGGUGUCUGGUGGAGUGCUUGGAGUCCUCGGUGAGCACUUGAUUGGCGGUCUGUCACAUUUGGUGGCAGCGGUGGGAUGGCUUCCUAGUGAGAGGAGAAGCACCCUGGAGACACUGUUUGUGGAUUUAUAAUUAAGGACAACGCUAGCAUUCGUGCAGCACCCCUGGAAGCAUAGGUGCCCACAGUCUUGGAGCAGGCCAGCAUGGCAUCCUCUGACUCUUCCUCAGAGUUUCUGUUCGAGGUGCAGCAGCGACUGGCCAGGUAUGGCUCUAAUGUGUCGAUGGAACCAGGUAACCGUCGAGAUACAAGCCAGGAGAGACUAUGUGUUCCUGAUGGCUAAAACGAGGGGAGGAGGUCUCCAGCAAAAAGAGGUUUGCAGCGGCCCUUCGGCAGAGGUGGUGCAACUGAUCUGGGAGGAUGCGCCCGCAGAUUUAAUGGACGUCAGAGGAUGUUAGUCUUUCUUCCCAGCGGCUGUACCCACAGGGAGAGGAGACAACUAGUCCAGGGAAGACUUCCAGACGGCAGGUGGAGAUGGGACUAAGGUCUUUCCUCCGGCCAUACAGGGAUGCUGGGCAGCCGGACCAGAUCCCCAGCUACAGCCGGAGUUACCAGGAGUGGGGACAGUCGGUCCUACUCCCCAGCAGCAGAGUAUGAUAUUGGGAGAAGAGACGGUUGGUCUCUCUCCCCAGCGGCAGUGUAUCCUACAGGGAGUGGAGACAAUCGGUCUCACACCCCAGCAGCGGUGUGCAGUACAGGGAGCGGAGGGUGUCGUCCUUCCUCCCCAGCAGUAGAGUGUGUUAUUGGGAGAGGAGACAGUCGGUCUUUCUCCCCAGCGGCAGACAGAGUUACAGAGAGAGGAGAGUAUGGUCCUCCAUCCCCAGCGGCAGGGUGAGUUACAGGGAGUGGAGAUGGUCAGUCUCACUCCCCAGCGGUAGAGUGUUACCGGGAGAGGAGACGGCCGGUCACUCUCCCCAGCGGCAGUAUGCAUUACAGGGAGAGGAGACGGCUGGUCACUCUCCCCAGCGGCAGCGGGAUAUACCAAGCUGCGGCAGUUCGUGGGGUCUACGGUGCUGAUGGUGUCUGGUUGAGUGCUUGGAGUCCUCAGUGAGCACUAGGAGCAUCGAUUGGCGGAGGUACCCAGUCGGGUUGCCAGGCGAUCCGUCACAAUCAGUCAUUGUAUAUUUUUUAUAACAAUUCAAAUAAAGGGUUUUGUUUCUGGUGAGUAAAAUAUUGCAGAAUCUCUUUAAAGGAGUAAAUCAGCUACAUUAACUAUGCAUAUUAUAGUUGAUUAGAUUUAUAUUAUUAUUUUUGCCAUUUAUAUAGCGCUAACAGAUUCCGUAGCGCUUUACAAUAUUAUAAGAGGGGGGUGUAACGGAUCACCUGGCACCCCGACUGGGUACCUCCGUUAAAGGAUGCUCCUAGCGCUUCCUGAGGACUCCAAGCACUGCAGCAGACACCACAACCACCGAACCGGAGAAGCAUAUGAAUCCUCUCAAGCAUAUGAAUGCUGUAGACAGUUGAAUAGGAACCAUACGAAUAGGUUUACUCUCCUGGCAGUCAAACUGGAACAGCAUACAAUAAAUCCUUCCCCCAAUAAUGAGACGACACUUCACUUUGAGG